RNAcentral lists this long non-coding RNA (467 nucleotides) under Brassica napus (rape). Its description in RNAcentral is "long non-coding RNA (BNAP_LNC005933)". The record is from RNAcentral. Lineage: Eukaryota; Viridiplantae; Streptophyta; Magnoliopsida; Brassicales; Brassicaceae.
UUUUUCUAAGAGUUCAUGGCAUGGUUUAAAGUUUAGUGUUUAGAAUUUAUGGUUUAGGGUUUAGUAUUAGAGUUUAGGAUUAAGAGUUUAGGGUUUGGUUUAGAGUUUUGGAUUAGGGAUCUAGGAUUUUCCCAAAGAUUCAGGGUUUAUCCAAUGAUUUAGGGUUUAGUGUUUAGGAUUUAAAGUUUAGGGUUUAAUAUUUUACUAACAGGUUUAACAAUAUUAAAAAAUCUUUUUAUGAUAAUUACUAUAAAUUUUUUUUUAAACAAUAUAAUUUCACAAAUUUUUAUUAUUUGGUUUCUUUUUUUAAAAGAUAUUGAAUCUAAAAUAACUAAAUCGUAUUGGUUGGGUGAACCCAAGACCGGGUCUAUGGGUCCAGAGAAAUUUUUAGUGCUAUUUUAUUAAUUUUAAGGAUCCAUUUCAAAUUGCUAAAUGAUUAAAUAUUUAAUAAAAUUAUAAUAAAGAGU